Molecule: ribosomal RNA, 253 nt
Filed under: uncultured bacterium
Lineage: Bacteria
Description: partial 16S ribosomal RNA
Rfam family: Bacterial small subunit ribosomal RNA
Source: RNAcentral
UACGUAGGGUGCAAGCGUUGUCCGGAAUUAUUGGGCGUAAAGAGCUCGUAGGCGGCUCGUCACGUCGGCUGUGAAAACCCGGGGCUCAACCCCGGGCCUGCAGUCGAUACGGGCGAGCUAGAGUUCGGCAGGGGAGACUGGAAUUCCUGGUGUAGCGGUGAAAUGCGCAGAUAUCAGGAGGAACACCGGUGGCGAAGGCGGGUCUCUGGGCCGUAACUGACGCUGAGGAGCGAAAGCAUGGGGAGCGAACAGG